This is a long non-coding RNA of Manihot esculenta (cassava), 2826 nucleotides long. RefSeq lists it as uncharacterized. The transcript is spliced from 3 exons. The record is from RefSeq and is a predicted model, not a curated record. NCBI's taxonomy places the organism in Eukaryota, Viridiplantae, Streptophyta, Magnoliopsida, Malpighiales, Euphorbiaceae.
CCAAUAUGUACAGUUCUAGACCACGUUGUAUUUCAGCUUCUCCUAGAAUCAGCAUUUCUUACAUUCAAAAUUACGAAGCAAAGUUACUGGUGAUAUGGGUAUUAAAGAAAAUGCGGCAAUGGGUGUGAAUUUGGAGAUGAUAAGAUUAUUGGUCAAACGCGGCCUCGUUGUGGUUGCAUUUGAUAUGUGGGGUUUUGGUGUUUGGGCGCAAAAGGGUGUUUGCUGCCGAAGGUGUCAUAAAUGCUGAUUAUGGUGUUGUUGGCCAAAGCAUAUUGUUAUAUCGAGGAAAGCGUGCGCUAAGCUUUCUCACCUUAUUAUGGUUUUCAAGGAUCAAGGUUUGGUAUUGGCUGCUCUUCUAGGUUUAUCAUUUUUUUUCUAUGGCUGAGACUUCCAUAACCACGCUAUGGCCGUGGAAGGUAAGAAUCUUGUUAUGUUCCCAUGUAUAGGAUCUCUUCACAGGCGAUGAACUCAAGAUUGCAUGGAUUUUUAGGUUUAUUGGAUGUUUUUUUGUGUAUGAACUUGGACAGGUCUUGUGUAUAAUGAACACCCCACUUGUAAUUAUGAAAAAAAAAAAGAUUACAACACAUUCAUGAUGCUGAAAAGCUGAAGAAUCAGAAGAAAUUGAGUUCAUGGUGCCUCCUUGUGAUAUUGAGCUAAUGCGACAUUUGAUUUAUAAAAUGCAGCAAUAUUGCUAAUGGUGUUUUUCUAUCAUUUACAAGAGAAGAAAAAGGAGGGGAAUGAGAAUUGCCUAUCAGUGCGACUGUGUGAGAUAGUUGGUGAACUUAACACUUUGCAAUAAACUUAUUCGAGCAUGAUAUCUAGUUUGACUUGGUGUAUUUGAAGAACUUAUGUUGAGGAAAGGAUCAAGGUUUAUAACUUGUAUUGCAAGUUGAAGUAUUAAUUUUAAUCUUGACUUUGACAUUUCAAGAGAGGGUGGAUUUGGUGUAAAGUUACUCCAUUUGUGAUCGGGAGCUCAUAGGUCCGAGCCACAGACACAAUCUAUCUGCAAUGGGGCUUAAGGCUAUGUACAUUAACCCUCCCCACGGCCCACAAGUGUGGGAUGUUCUCGUGCCCAAUGUCACACUUUGACUGAAAUUUAAUGAAUGUGCUGAACAGAAUAUGACAAUUCAUCUAACACAGAGAAAUUGAGUUGACAUCAUUUAAAACAUUUUUUUGUAGCAUAAUUUUAUAAAAUAAAUACAGAAACGGUUAUUGAGAUUUAAGCUGCAAUACCCGUCUUUUCAGCAUACUGUUUUCCAUAUAGUAUUAUGUCUGGUAAAUUCAGCUGGAUUCUGAUGUUUGCAUAUGUUACCUCUUUUCAUCUCUGUGAUGAUUGUUCUUUGAAUUUAAUUGUCCACCCAACAUUAAUCUCUCAGCCUCAGGUCCGUGAGCUAGCUGAAAAAGAGUCUGAUGAUGGUGUGUUCAUAAUGCAUCCUAGAGAUAUACUCGGUUUCUGACAACAAUUCUCAUCGGCACAGCAUACUUUCCCCUUCUAACCAUUGAUAUUUGAUAAUUGAACCAUAUGUUACUGAAGAUGAUGCUGCAAGGAGCAGAACUGAGUGGGCAAUAGAAAAUCAGCAUUCUGCUUCUGUAGCUUUUUCCAAGAGGUAUUAGCUGGAAAUGCCAGAAAAGUCGGUGCUGUUCGAUUUGAACGUAUAGACAAUGAUGAUGUAAUGUUGGAGACCAAAGAAGUAACCCACUAGGUUCCCAGAAACAUGAAGAGGAAAUGGAGCAGUGGUGAAGAUUCUGAUGGUUCUGAUUAUGAUGAGGAUUCAUUCCAAUUUAGACCAAAGCAUGGUCUUUCUGCCUCCAAUGUAAAAGCUGAACAUGAUGACAAUGAGAGUCCUGGUAGACAGUAGUUAUCUCUCUCUCUCUCUCUAACAGCUCCAUGAAAGCAGUAAAAGGACUUGAGAAACAAAAGAAUGGAACAAGGAUACAGGAGAUACAAACAUUGUAAAACUUUUUCACAGAUGAAGUGAUGUAUCAACAUCUGAUACAUCAAAGUCAUUUGCUAUGCGUGCGACAGUAUUUUUGGACCGUUUUGCCCAGUUUGGAGGCUCAUUGAUUACGAGACUUGUAUGCUUGCUCUCCAUGUUUGGCUGGAGGUAGCGAGAGCCUUGAAGUGGUUGCCCAGGUGAAUGGCUUAAUUCAGGGUGUAAAAAGGGCCUGGAUGGCUCAUAAGCUUUCGCUGACUUGACUUGUUCUGCUUCAGUGAAAAGUCUUAGGAGGUCCCUCUUCUGCCUCAUCUCCUUUGCUCUCUCGAGCUGUCUAAACCUCUCUUGCAGAAGGGCAAUGGAGGAAGGCAUGAUGGUUGGAUCACAGUUUUGCGUACCCAUUGAUGGCUAACUGGUAAUCUCUUAAAGGAGAGCACUGGGAGUUCUCUUUGGUAAGGCCUUGGAUUUCUGCGUUGCUAUAUAUAAGACGUGUAUAUGUGGUGCGUUCACUAAUAGAUUCUGAAUGAUGUAAAAGGAACAGUGGAAUCGGCAGCUGAGUUGCUAAGUCCAAGAAGACAUGGUUGUGUGGCUAACCUUAAGAAGUCUGGGAUGGUGUAUUUGAGAAAAGGCCAAAGGACUUCUCAAGGAUAAAAGGGUAGGAAAAGAAAAUACAAAAUAAGAAUGGAAGGUAGUUUUUGGAAGGGUUUAUAAAGCGGAAUAAAAAGAUAGGUGAUGCUUGUCUGCAAGAGCUGCUAUAGCUUUGGAGAAGAUGUGCCUCAUUUGGUGGGACGUUUUUAUUAUUUAUAGCUUUAAACAUUCUCUUUUCAGCUUUGUGAAGUGCAAUAAAAGAAAGUAAAAAUAAGGAUGUAGAGGCAGGACAAGGGUUACAACA